GAUGAACGCUGGCGGCGUGCCUAAUACAUGCAAGUCGAGCGAACGGACGAGAAGCUUGCUUCUCUGAUGUUAGCGGCGGACGGGUGAGUAACACGUGGAUAACCUACCUAUAAGACUGGGAUAACUUCGGGAAACCGGAGCUAAUACCGGAUGAUAUUUUGAACCGCAGGGUUCAAAAGUGAAAGACGGUCUUGCUGUCACUUAUAGAUGGAUCCGCGCUGCAUUAGCUAGUUGGUAAGGUAACGGCUUACCAAGGCAACGAUGCAUAGCCGACCUGAGAGGGUGAUCGGCCACACUGGAACUGAGACACGGUCCAGACUCCUACGGGAGGCAGCAGUAGGGAAUCUUCCGCAAUGGGCGAAAGCCUGACGGAGCAACGUCGCGUGAGUGAUGAAGGUCUUCGGAUCGUAAAACUCUGUUAUUAGGGAAGAAGAUAUGUGUAAGUAACUGUGCACAUCUUGACGGUACCUAAACAGAAAGCCACGGCUAACUACGUG
Molecule: ribosomal RNA, 497 nt
Filed under: uncultured bacterium
Lineage: Bacteria
Description: partial 16S ribosomal RNA
Rfam family: Bacterial small subunit ribosomal RNA
Source: RNAcentral